RNAcentral lists this ribosomal RNA (450 nucleotides) under uncultured bacterium. Its description in RNAcentral is "partial 16S ribosomal RNA". It matches the Rfam family "Bacterial small subunit ribosomal RNA", at positions 354 to 796 of the family's 1533-position model. The record is from RNAcentral.
GUGGGGAAUUUUGGACAAUGGGCGCAAGCCUGAUCCAGCAAUGCCGCGUGCAGGAAGAAGGCCUUCGGGUUGUAAACUGCUUUUGUACGGAACGAAAAGGCUCUGGUUAAUACCUGGGGCUCAUGACGGUACCGUAAGAAUAAGCACCGGCUAACUACGUGCCAGCAGCCGCGGUAAUACGUAGGGUGCAAGCGUUAAUCGGAAUUACUGGGCGUAAAGCGUGCGCAGGCGGUUUUGUAAGACAGGCGUGAAAUCCCCGGGCUCAACCUGGGGAUGGCGCUUGUGACUGCAAGGCUGGAGUGCGGCAGAGGGGGAUGGAAUUCCGCGUGUAGCAGUGAAAUGCGUAGAUAUGCGGAGGAACACCGAUGGCGAAGGCAAUCCCCUGGGCCUGCACUGACGCUCAUGCACGAAAGCGUGGGGAGCAAACAGGAUUAGAUACCCUUGUAGUCC